AACAAACGCUGGCGGCGUGUCUUAAGCAUGCAAGUUGAGCGGCAAGGAGGAGAGAUCCUCCCUAGAGCGGCGGACUGGUGAGUAACGCGUGGGUAAUCUAUCUUAGGCAUGGGGAUAGUCACUAGAAAUAGUGGGUAAUACCGAAUAAGUUCCAUAAGGGGAGGACUUAUGGAAGAAAGGUGCUACGGCACUGGCCUUAGGUGAGCUCGCGUCCCAUUAGCUAGUUGGUGAGGUAAAGGCCCACCAAGGCGAUGAUGGGUAGCCGGCCUGAGAGGGUGUACGGCCACACUGGGACUGAGAUACGGCCCAGACUCCUACGGGAGGCAGCAGCUAAGAAUAUUCCGCAAUGGACGGAAGUCUGACGGAGCGACGCCGCGUGGAUGAAGAAGGCCGAAAGGUUGUAAAGUUCUUUUGCUAGGGGAGAAUAAGUGUGGGAGGAAUGCCUGCACGAUGACAAGGACUAGCGAAUAAGUCCCGGCCAACUACGUGCCAGCAGCCGAC
RNAcentral lists this ribosomal RNA (501 nucleotides) under uncultured bacterium. RNAcentral describes it as "bacterial SSU rRNA". It matches the Rfam family "Bacterial small subunit ribosomal RNA", at positions 29 to 518 of the family's 1533-position model. The record is from RNAcentral.